RNAcentral lists this ribosomal RNA (916 nucleotides) under uncultured bacterium. RNAcentral describes it as "bacterial SSU rRNA". It matches the Rfam family "Bacterial small subunit ribosomal RNA", at positions 246 to 1155 of the family's 1533-position model. The record is from RNAcentral.
UUGUUGGUAAGGUAAAAGCUUACCAAGGCUUCGAUCAGUAGCUGGUCUGAGAGGACGACCAGCCACACUGGGACUGAGACACGGCCCAGACUCCUACGGGAGGCAGCAGUGGGGAAUUUUGGACAAUGGGGGCAACCCUGAUCCAGCCAUGCCGCGUGAGUGAAGAAGGCCUUCGGGUUGUAAAGCUCUUUCAGCCGGAACUAAACGGUUACGGAUAACACCCGUGACUACUGACGGUACCGGAAGAAGAAGCACCGGCUAACUACGUGCCAGCAGCCGCGGUAAUACGUAGGGUGCGAGCGUUAAUCGGAAUUACUGGGCGUAAAGCGUGCGCAGGUGGUUUUGUAAGUCAGAUGUGAAAGCCCCGGGCUCAACCUGGGAACUGCGUUUGAAACUACAAGACUAGAGUGUGGCAGAGGGGGGUGGAAUUCCGCGUGUAGCAGUGAAAUGCGUAGAGAUGUGGAGGAACACCGAUGGCGAAGGCAGCCCCCUGGGUCAACACUGACGCUCAGGCACGAAAGCAUGGGGAGCAAACAGGAUUAGAUACCCUGGUAGUCCAUGCCCUAAACGAUGUCAACUAGUUGUCGGGCCUUUACGGGCUUGGUAACGUAGCUAACGCGUGAAGUUGACCGCCUGGGGAGUACGAUCGCAAGAUUAAAACUCAAAUGAAUUGACGGGGACCCGCACAAGCGGUGGAUUAUGUGGAUUAAUUCGAUGCAGCGCGAAAAACCUUACCUACCCUUGACAUGUAUCGAAGCCCGCAGAAAAGCGGGGGUGCCCGAAAGGGAACGAUAACACAGGUGCUGCAUGGCUGUCGUCAGCUCGUGUCGUGAGAUGUUGGGUUAAGUCCCGCAACGAGCGCAACCCUUGUCAUUAAUUGCCAUCAUUUAGUUGGGCACUUUAAUGAGACUGCCGG